Long non-coding RNA from Brienomyrus brachyistius, 938 nucleotides. RefSeq lists it as uncharacterized. The transcript is spliced from 3 exons. Lineage: Eukaryota; Metazoa; Chordata; Actinopteri; Osteoglossiformes; Mormyridae. The record is from RefSeq and is a predicted model, not a curated record.
UUUCAGUAUUGACAUCGUUCUGCUUUAGAAUAGUUACUGGCGUUGAAUCCAGGUUUGGAACCUGUGUCCUGUUCUGCUGCCCCCCCCAUCCCCUUCACUGCGAUGCUAAUGCAGAAGUGAUUGAGAAGGUCCAUGGCUGGGAGGCAACGGCGCCCAUCUCUCCAUGAUGCAUGGGGCCAUGUGAAGGACGCAUGGAGAAGCGGUGGCCCGCCAGCUGCCGGCAGCUCCGCCCAGAGAGGUGGUGCGUCCUGGGGCCCCUGACGCUGCAUCCAUCAGGCUCCUCCAUUAGCGCCACACCUGAGCGAUGGGCCCCGCCCGCCGCCAUACGUCUCCGCGGCCCAGACACCUUCCUGCGGAGAGGAGAUCGAUGCUGCCGGGUCCAUGUAUCACGUGUGACUCCGGAACCUUCUAUUUAAUGAUCUUGUCUGCCCACAGCAUCCCGCUCAUUCCCCAUCAGCCAGAUCCAAAAACCGUCAUCCUACACCCACUUGCCGACUCUGCCCCCCCCACCAUCGGAUUACCUGUGGGGAGAAACAUCUGCAUCAGACCUCAUGGGUGGCUGAUAAGCGUCGCGGCUUGUUCCUGUAUCGCCCGCAGUGCCACUGUUUGUCACGUGAUUAUGUCAUGGCAUUUAGGCAAAUAGGAAUACACCGAUCGAUCGAACGCAGAAACAUUGGGGGGCCCUUCCCCUGACCGUGCCCCAAGCUGAACGUUUUAUAAAUGCACCCCAGAUAUUCUCCUGUAAAGUGUUUCCAGAACACUGGGCAGCCAUCACCUAUGAAUGUUUCUGUUGAAGAUUUGAAUGGAUCUUGGACAUGGAACAUGCCAAGUCACCCCUGCAGCAAGCUGAAGCUAAAGGGGUGAAGGGAUCAAGAGGCUGCUGGGCCGAUAUCUACACUCCCUUCAAAUAAUAAUGACUCACCGAGGUGCAAAAGUUG